GUGGUCCUAAACAUGCUAUGUGGAAAGUUGAAAUUAAAGUAUUUCCAAAAAAGGAAAGGGGUCAUUUUUUAUAAACGGACUCAAAAAAAAAGUAGGUCAUUCUUUUUUAAACGGAGGAAGUACAAUAAAAUUAUUAGUAUUUAAUUGAGAAAAAACAUUUAUGUUUAUUAGUGAUAGUGAAGAUGGCUUAUAAUGGUGGUUGCAGUGAGAAUGAUUGAUGUUAGUGAUUAAUAUUGUUGGCGGUGAUCACUGUGAUGGUUGGCAUUGUAGUGAUUGUUACGAUGGUGGCGAUUGAUGGUGGUGGUGGUUGUUGUGAUGUGACGUUGCUUGAUGUUAGUAGUUUAAGGUGUUGAUUGCGUUGGCUGAAACAUGAAUGCAUGAUGAUUGACGAUGUGUUGGUGCUAGUUGGAGAUGUUAUUUGUUGUGAUGGUGAAAAUGGUUGUUAGUAGAGAUAAAUUGUAGCAAUUGUACUGGUUGAAGUAGUGGUAGAGGUGGCAUUACUAGUGACAAUAGUGGGGGCAGCCAAAGAAUGUGUAGAGGUUGUGAUGUAUUAGUGGUAGUUAGUGAUGGUACUAGUUGUGAUAGAUGAGUUGGUUGGUAGUAGGGAUUGGCCGCUAGUGGUUGCUGAUUGUGGUGUUGUUGACGGCAGUAGUGGUGGUGAAUAUAAUUAGAAUAUAAAGGUAGUAGGUGUGGUAGCGGUUGACAAUUGUGGUUGGUAGCGAUAUUUUUUGUCAAUGGUGGUUGUGAUGGUGGAGGUGGUAGGUGGUAAUUGACAAGGGAGACGGUGACAGAGGUGGUUAGUGGUGGUAACUGCUGAUUAUGAAUAGAGUGGUGAAUAUUAUCCAACACCAGAAUAUCCAUUCAGACCUAUUAAGACUUUGUUCUAGAUUUGAAUGAUUAAAACCUAUUCAGACCUAUUCAGAGUUAAAACCUUAAAAAAAAACAAAUGCACUUAAUGGUCUGAAGUCUGAACCAUUCAGAUUCAGACCUCCAUUAAAUGCAAACAAUUGAGGCCUAAGGUCCUGAAGCAUCUUGAUAAAGCAAGGAGAACAUUCCUAUGGAAAGGCAACUAUGAAGGGCAUAAGUUUCAUUUGGUGGACUGGUCAGAGGUUAUCAAACCAAAAAACCUGGGGGGUUUGGGAAUCAAAAACUUAUCGAAACACAAUAGUAGCUUGCUUAUGAAAUGGUGGUGGAGAUACAGUCAAGAAACUACUAGUCUUUGGAAAAGGGUGGUGACCGCCAAGUAUGGGAAACAAAAUCACUGGAGCACCAGCACAUGCAUGGCUCCCCAUGGUGUUGGACCUUGGAAACACUUAAGCAAGCUCAGAGAUGAUUUUUUCGUUGAUGUCUUGUUUGUUGUUGGGAACAAAAAUUUAGUGAGUUUUUGGAAUGACAAAUGGCUUCUCGACCAACCCUUGAAGAUCUCUCACUCAAACCUCUAUCGACUAGCUGUGAAUCCCAACUCCACAGUGGCACAAAAUAGAGCUGGAACCUCAUGGAACCUCUUCCUUAGAAGAAAUUUGCAAGAUUGGGAACUAGAGGAGAUCUUUGAUCUUUACAGAAUUUUAGAAGAUUGCACAAUAAAUCCCUGGGCCAGUGACAAGCUAAGAUGAGGCAGUUCAAGUAAGGGGUCUUACACAGUCAAGGCAGGUUAUAGUAAACUGUGUGCUCAAAAUGAAGUGACUGAACACUAACCUUGGAAGCUGAUUUGGAGAACUAAACUCCCCAAUAAAAUCAUAUGUUUUACAUGGAGGCACUCCUAACUCAAGACAACCUUUGCAGAAGAAAGUUUCAACUAGCAAACAGGUGUUUUAUGUGCCAACAUAGCUCAAAAACAGUCAACCAUUUACUUUUGCAUUGCUCAGUUGCAUCUGAUUUGUGGAACAUGUUCUUAUCAAUUUCUAGGGUUAGUUGGGUAGUGCCACGGAAUGUUAAGGACACUAUGGAAAGCUGGAGCCUUUGGGUAGUUGACAGAGCCAUCAAGAAGAUCUGGCAAAUGAUACCAGCAUGCAUUGUUUGGAGUAUCUGGAUGGAAAGAAAUCGUAGAUGUUUUGAUGGGAUUUCAACUCCUAACACUGCUCUGAAGUCCAACUGUUUGAUGUUUCUUUUUAGCUGGAGCAAUUUAACCCCUGUAAACAAUGUUAUUCCUCUUGUAGAUUUCAUUAGUUCCUUGUCUUUGGCUAACAGCCAUACUUUUUGCACAGUUAGGGAAAUGACUCAAUGUUAUAUCUGUAGGUUUUUGCAUCUAGGAGCCUUCCCUAAUUUUCUUUGUACUGUUUUCAGCAUCUUCUUAAUGCCAGUCAAUAUAACAAUUACUUCAUCAAAAAAAAAGAGUUGACUGCAUCAUGUAGCAUGAUUUAACCAAUUAAGAAUAACAGACAGACCGAAUAAAGAGCAUGUCAUUGAAAAACAUAAAGGACAAGAAUUUAUCCCAACAGGUUAUACAAAGCAAGCUUUCCAUUUUCUCAUUCUUUCCUUAAGAAAUCAAGAUAGUAACCACCCUAACCUCUCUCUGCACCGCCCGAAGAUUCAAAAAAGUAAGUAUUGUUUCAACCCAACCAAGCACAAGGCAUGCCCAGAAGCAACUCUAUGAUGAGAUUAAUAUCACCUCCAUAAUGAAGCGUUAGAUUUUCGCCUCACAUGGAUAUAGCCUAAAGGUCUGCAUAUUAUAAACGUUCCUACUUUUGGAAUGUGCCAACCAGCCUCUGCAAGCAAUGCAGAAGAGGAAACGAAAAGCUUUGGAAAACCAUGAUUUUCAGUCUUGGACUUGAUGAAGGAUUGUGAUGAGAUAUGUUUUAAUCAGAGAUACACAUUCAUUAUUAGUGCAGUUUGUAGGAUAUGUGAAUCAACACUGCUAAAAGCAGUUCUAAGUGUUACUUGUUUGUGCCACAGAAGAGAUUUCUGAACAAACACUAUACUAUCAAGUUCUAAAGAAAUUUUUAAAUUUUUGUGUGGUGCCCAUAGCCUCAUAGUGAUCAAUUAGGCAGUCUAAGUUAGCAAAAGUGUUGUCAAAAGCAAAAACAGCAAAAUGGCUCUCAGGUUUGUAGGAGCUUUAAGCGCAAAUAAAGUGUGGGCUUCAAUUUAAAAAGAAGGCGGAAAGGGAGAAAAAAAUAUAAAUAUAGGUAUAGUGCAAGAUAAAUAAUUAUAAACAAUAACAACAACAACAAACCUAGUGUAUUCCCACAAAGUGGGGUCUGGGGAGGGUAAAAUGUACGCAGUCCAUACCGCUACCUCCAAAGAAGUAGAGAGGAUGUUCCGAUAGACCCCCGGCUCAAGAUAGAGAAUAGUAAACAAAAGCGUAAUGAAACAUGAAGCAUGAUGAAUGGCACAACAUAAAAAGAGAUAAGACAUAAUAAAAUAGAAAUCAGAACAAUACGAGAUAAGAUAAAUAAGCGCAAUAUGAAAUAAGAGAUAAGAAAAGGACAUCAGGAAUACGACCCCCACCUAGUAGUAACAUACACUCACAGACCAGAGACACCCGCCACACCCAAAUCCUCCUGACCAGGGGCUCCUACAUAUGGACAUAGUCCUAGGAUUACUAACCCGGCUAUACAUGAGCUCUUGUAACUACUUGCUACAACCCACGCACACAUCCUACCCGUCUACCCUUAUUCGUGACCUCCACACCUUCCUAUCUAGGGUCAUGUCCUCAGUAAGCUGAAGCUGCUCCACGGCAUGUCUAAUCACUUUCCUCCAAUACUUCUUCGGCCUACCUCUCCUCCUCCUGAAGCCAUCCAACGCAAGCCUCUCACAUCUACGAACUGGGGCAUCCAUGCCCCUCCUCAUCACAUACAUGCCCAAACCAUCUCAACCUUCCUUCCCGCAUCUUGUCCUCCACCGAAACCACUCUCACCUUCUCCCGGACAAUCUCAUUCCUAACUCUAUCCCCUCUAGUAAGUCCACACAUCCAACGCAACAUUCUCAUUUCCGCCACCUUCAUCUUUUGAAUGCGGGAGUUCUUGAGUGGUCAACACUCUGCUCCAUAUAGCAUGGCUGGACGGACUGCCACUCUGUAGAAUUUGCCUUUAAGCUUAAGUGGUACCUUCUUAUCACACAACACUCCCGAGGCGAGCCUCCACUUUAUUCAACCUGCUCCAAUACGGUUAGAGCAAGGGAAAGUGAACGACAAAUAUACGAAUAAAGAAAUUGAAAAAAAUUACGAUAAAGUGGAAUAUCAAUUGUUUAGUAUCGCCUCUUCAUGAAAGGCUCAUUAGCAAGGGAAAGUAUGCUUUAGAACCUUGAUGACGACACUGAAGCGCACAUAAAGCGAAGGGAAGCGCACAACACGUUUUGAACCUCGCUUCGGGACUUAAGCGCACCUUUAACAACACUGAUAUAUAGUAAGACCCAAAGGCGUAUUCAUGAUUUUAAGACAAUGGAUGCACUAUUACAACAACAACAACAACAACAAACCCAGUGUAUUCCCACCUAGUGGGGUCUGGGGGGGUAAGAUGUACGCAGUCCAUACCUCUACCUCUGAUGAAGUAGAAAAGCUGUUUCCGAUAGACCCCCGGCUCAAGGCACGAGAUACCACACAAACACAUAGUGCAGCACAGAAGCAGAUUACAUAACAUAAAUACGGCACCCAUAAGUAAUAUAAAGCAGAGGAAAGCAGGGGAAAGCACACAGAUUCGUAAUACAACAUGGAACACGGAACACCUAAUCCUCUGCCGUAAUUCGCGUCUUCCAGACCUUCCUAUCUAGGGUCAUGUCCUCGGUGAGCUGUAACUGUUCCAUGUCCCGCCUAAUCACCUCACCCCAGUACUUCUUCGGUCUACCCCUACCCCGUCUAAAACCAUCCAACGCUAGCCUCUCACACCUACGGACCGGGGCAUCCGUGCCCCUCCUCUUCACGUGUCCGAACCAUCUCAAUCGUGCUUCCCGCAUCUUACACUCCACUGAAGUCACACCAACCUUCUCCCGGAUAGUCUCAUUCCGAACUCUAUCCCCUCGGGUCAGUCCACACAUCCAGCGCAACAUCCGCAUUUCUGCCACCUUCAUUUUUUGGAUGUGGGAGUUCUUAACUGGCCAACACUCCGCUCCAUACAGCAAGGCCGGACGGACUACCACCCUAUAGAAUUUGCCUUUAAGCUUGGGCGGCACCUUCUUAUCACACAGCACCCCCGAUGCGAGUUUCCACUUCAUCCAUCCCGCCCCAAUACGGUGCGAGACAUCCUCGUCAAUCUCACCGUUACUCUGGAUCACGGACCCGAGAUACUUGAACUUAUCCCUCUUCCCUACCUCCUGUGCUUCUAGCCUCACUACUACCUCAUUCUCCCGCCUCACGUCAUUAAACUUACAUUCCACAUACUCUGUCUUGGUUCUGCUCACCCUGAACCCUUUAGACUCCAGAGUUUGCCUCCACAACUCUAAUUUGUCAUUCACACCCCCUCGAGUCUCAUCUAUCAGGACUACAUCGUCUGCAAAAAGCAUACACCACGGCACCUCCCCUUGGAUACGCCGCGUCAACACAUCCAUUACUAACGCAAACAAAAAGGGACUAAGAGUAGAUCCCUGGUGCAAUCCUGUCAGGACAGUGAAAUGCUCUGAGUCUCCUCCCGCCGUCCUCACCUGGGUUUUCGCUCCCUCAUACAUAUCCUUAAUUACUCUGAUAUAUGCCUGCGGUACUCCACUCACCUCCAAGCAUCUCCAAAGCACUUCCCUGGGGACUUUGUCGUACGCCUUUUCCAGGUCGAUGAACACCAUGUGCAGAUCCUUCUUCCUCUCCCUAUACUGCUCCACCAACCUCCGUACCAGGUGGAUUGCCUCCGUCGUCGAGCGGCCGGGCAUAAAUCCGAACUGGUUUUCCGAGAUAGACACUAUCCGUCUCAGCCUCACCUCGACCACUCUCUCCCAGAUCUUCAUAGAGUGACUCAGUAACUUAAUCCCCCUAUAGUUAUUGCAACACUGAAUGUCCCCCUUAUUCUUAUAGAGGGGGAUCAUGGUACUCCACCUCCACGCCUCGGGCAUCUUUGCCGUCCUGAAAAUUUCAUUGAACAAUGCAGUCAACCACCUUACACCAGCCUCUCCAACGAACUUCCAAAACUCCACCGGUAUCUCAUCCGGCCCCGUCGCCCUACCCCUUCGCAUCCUGCGGACUGCCUGUCUAACCUCUUCUACCUUAAAACGUCUACAAUAGCUAAAAUCCCGACACUCCCCUGAGUGCUCCAGUUCCCCUAACACAAUAGCUCUAUCCCCUUCGUCAUUCAAGAGCCUAUGAAAGUACGACUGCCAUCUCUUCUUGAUGUGGCCGUCCUCCACCAACACUCUACCGUCCUCCCCCUUAAUGCACCUCACCUGAUCGAGGUCACGACCCUUCCUCUCCCUAGCCUUAGCGAGUCUAAACAACUUUUUCUCCCCUCCUUUCCCCUGUAACCCUGCAUACAAGCUCUCAAAAGCGGCCGUCUUAGCAGCCGUGACUGCUGACUUCGCCUCCUUCCUCGCUAGCUUGUACUCUUUCCUGUACACCCGCUUCUCCUCUUCGUCCUUACUUUCCACCAACUUAGCAUACGCCCCUUUCUUGGUCCUCACUUUCUUCUCCACCUCUUCAUUCCACCACCAAUCCCCCCGAUGGUGCCCGGCCCGGCCCCUAGAACUGAAUUUAGGAUUUACAUUUGAUGGAUUCAACAUUUAGGUUCCUAGCAUGAACUCAUUAAAUAUUUGAAAUUUAUAUGUUCAAUAUAAAUUUUUUGAGCAAUUUAUUUUUCACAUAUGUAUCUAUACUCUGUAUCAAAAAUAUUGGAUUUAGUUGAACCCAUUGACUACAUGUUGUAUGCUCCACUACUGCUAAUUUUAAUAUAGACAUUUGAUUUAAUUACACUCAAUUUAACAACGAUAACAAGGUAAAUAGGGAUUUUGAAAGAAUAAACCAAAGUAACAAAAAAAGUACGUAAUUAAAAUGCAAGAGGGAACACAAGACAUGCUCAUCCCCAUGGGUGAACCUAAAUAGAGAAAAAGAAGAGAAAAAAGGCCAGACAUGAGAUUUGGAUCUUGGAAUCAAUUCUAGACAGAGAACCAAAAAAGGGAAAAAACAACAAGAUAGACAUGGGAUUUGAAACCCCAGUGUCAUUUGUAAAUUGUAAAGGUGCACCCAAUAAAUAUUACAUCACAUCAUAGGACUAAUUGAGCUUAGAUCCCCAUAUUUAAUUUGAGAUAAAGGUAUCUAUGUAUUCACAAUAGACUCAUCAUCAAAUAAAUGAUGAACACACGUCACUUACAAUCUCAUCAGAACAUAACAAAACAAUCCCUAUGGAAGAUUACAAAUUUCCUAUGAACUCAACAAAAAGUUUUAUAUCCCCCCAACAUAUCUUGUUUACGCCAAAAAUACAAUAGACUAAGAUAGUUGAUUCUAAUCUCCUGAAUGUUGUUUCUCUACAUGAAAUAAAAGGGAGGUCCGGUGUAUUAAAGCUCUCCCAACACGCGGGAUCAGGGAAAGGCCGGACCACAAGGGUCUAUUGUACGCAGCCCCACCCUACAUUUCUACAAGAGGUUGUUUCCACGGCUUGAACUCGUGACCUUCUAAUCACAUGGAGACAACUUUACAGUUAAACUAAGGCUCCUCUUUAGAUCCACUUGACAACGACAGUUAUUCACCAACCAUUAGAUGGCACAAGGAUACACUCUACAGGAUGCUUCAAAAAAGACAUAAUGAUCUCUAUUUGAUGAAUCAAGCAUUAACAUGCAAUUUCCACUUCAUAACUCCAAUUAGCAGAAAAGGUUUGCAACAUAGCUGUAACGACAAUCUUCAACUUCCAGUAAUUUCUUAAAAUAUAUUUCUGCUAGAAUUUUGUUAACAGUUUAAACUGAUACGCUCUUUUAGCUGAGUUCCAAUUCA
This 7834-nucleotide long non-coding RNA is filed under the name Capsicum annuum. RNAcentral describes it as "long non-coding RNA (CANN_LNC015688)". Lineage: Eukaryota; Viridiplantae; Streptophyta; Magnoliopsida; Solanales; Solanaceae. The record is from RNAcentral.